AAGACUAUACUUUCAGGGAUCAUUUCUAUAGUUUGUCUAAGCCAGACUAAGCCAGGCCCCUGAGAGAGAGUAGGGCAGAGGAGUGAGGAGACCAGAGCUGCAAACAGCCUGCCCACAUUCAAGUUCAGGGUCAAGUUUCAGCUCUGCACUGACUGGC
This 157-nucleotide small nucleolar RNA is filed under the name Erinaceus europaeus (western European hedgehog). RNAcentral describes it as "Small nucleolar RNA U3". The stretch from base 1 to 39 matches the Rfam family "Small nucleolar RNA U3", at positions 1 to 41 of the family's 219-position model. Lineage: Eukaryota; Metazoa; Chordata; Mammalia; Eulipotyphla; Erinaceidae. The record is from Rfam by way of RNAcentral.